RNAcentral lists this ribosomal RNA (462 nucleotides) under uncultured bacterium. RNAcentral describes it as "partial 16S ribosomal RNA". It matches the Rfam family "Bacterial small subunit ribosomal RNA", at positions 28 to 507 of the family's 1533-position model. The record is from RNAcentral.
GACGAACGCUGGCGGCGUGCUUAACACAUGCAAGUCGAACGGAAAGGCCCUUCGGGGUACUCGAGUGGCGAACGGGUGAGUAACACGUGGGAGAUCUGCCCUGCACUUUGGGAUAAGCCUGGGAAACUGGGUCUAAUACCGAAUAGGACCACGCGCUUCAUGGUGUGUGGUGGAAAGCUUUUGCGGUGUGGGAUGGGCCCGCGGCCUAUCAGCUUGUUGGUGGGGUAAUGGCCUACCAAGGCGACGACGGGUAGCCGGCCUGAGAGGGUGACCGGCCACACUGGGACUGAGAUACGGCCCAGACUCCUACGGGAGGCAGCAGUGGGGAAUAUUGCACAAUGGGCGCAAGCCUGAUGCAGCGACGCCGCGUGAGGGAUGACGGCCUUCGGGUUGUAAACCUCUUUCAAUAGGGACGAAGCGCAAGUGACGGUACCUAUAGAAGAAGCACCGGCCAACUACGUG